UAGGGAAUCUUCCACAAUGGACGAAAGUCUGAUGGAGCAACGCCGCGUGAGUGAAGAAGGUUUUCGGAUCGUAAAACUCUGUUGUAAGGGAAGAACACGUACGAGAGUAACUGCUCGUACCUUGACGGUACCUUAUUAGAAAGCCACGGCUAACUACGUGCCAGCAGCCGCGGUAAUACGUAGGUGGCAAGCGUUGUCCGGAAUUAUUGGGCGUAAAGCGCGCGCAGGCGGUUCUUUAAGUCUGAUGUGAAAGCCCACGGCUCAACCGUGGAGGGUCAUUGGAAACUGGAGAACUUGAGUACAGAAGAGGAAAGCGGAAUUCCACGUGUAGCGGUGAAAUGCGUAGAGAUGUGGAGGAACACCAGUGGCGAAGGCGGCUUUCUGGUCUGUAACCGACGCUGAGGCGCGAAAGCGUGGGGAGCAAACAGGAUUAGAUACCCUGGUAGUCCACGCCGUAAACGAUGAGUGCUAAGUGUUAGGGGGUUUCCGCCCCGUUAGUGCUGCAGCUAACG
Molecule: ribosomal RNA, 512 nt
Filed under: uncultured Bacillota bacterium
Lineage: Bacteria; Bacillati; Bacillota
Description: bacterial SSU rRNA
Rfam family: Bacterial small subunit ribosomal RNA
Source: RNAcentral